This 938-nucleotide long non-coding RNA is filed under the name Neodiprion lecontei (redheaded pine sawfly). Its description in RNAcentral is "uncharacterized LOC124293561". The record is from RNAcentral. Lineage: Eukaryota; Metazoa; Arthropoda; Insecta; Hymenoptera; Diprionidae.
CUGCGAGGCUGUCUUCACAUUUGGAAUCAACGAUGAUGUCUCCUUCAAAAUUUCUUCCUGGGUAUCGAAAUGAAUUGCAACAACGUUGAUACGCGUUAUGGAUUAUCUGGAUUCAAAGAGCCUGCCAAUAAAUUUUGAAAACAUUGUGCGGUAUCUGAACAGAUGAAUUCAAUGUAGAAAAAUAACAGGUCGAGAGCAAAAACGCUAAGCCUGCACUCUACCACUACACCGUUGACUAUUGAUAGACGUAAGAAGACGACUCAGUCUAUUCCGUUAGACAAGGUCAUGGAGGAAGAACUCAAACAGUUACGAUUGGAGAAGGAGAAAUUGGAACAACUGAAAGAUGAUCUUAAAAAACAGCAGGACGAUCUCCAUUCUCGUAGUGAGUUGGCAAAACAAGUCAGCUUGUUGCAAAAAGAAAAAGAAAGUCAAGCGCGAGUUUUAAAUGAGCUACGCAGAGGUUCAUCAAGUCAACAGAAACAGACUACAUUGCAGCGCUAUUGACCGCAUCUAGCAAUGAUGGGGGUGAAAUCACCAGAUCAAUCAAUCUCUGAGAACAAAGUAGAAACCAAAUCAAUCACUACGCCGAGUAAAAGUGAGUGUGUAAAAAGUGUGUUGCUUCACCGUUUAACCUGAUCGUAAGAUGCUAGGAGAGCUACUACGUGGAAAGUGUGGAGCAUCCCGGAGGAGAGCUAAGCAGAGACAUCCGAGUAACUUCUCCAUUACUUGGCGACGCUGGUGAGUUUGCAUGAGUUAGGUUACGGGUGUAUUUCCCUGGGACUUCUCUGUCAUGUGGCGUGGCGGUAACAAUUGUUACACGAAUCUUUGAUUUUUUAGCUCUAGAGAUAGACUCAUUCGCAAUCGCAACGAUGCUUGACUUUCAAUCGAGUCAUUUUUUGCCAUUAAUUUUCCCAUAGCUUAGAUGAAGUUAGAUAUUU